UUUUUUUUGUUUUCUGUUAUUUGACUCAUAUCUGGGUUUUUGUUGCUUUGAAUCGUAGCUGUUUUGGCAUGUUUAAUCUGCAAAUUUUUCUGGGCUUGAAUUAUAAUCUAAAUUAGGAUAUUAUUUAAUCAUAAAUUGUUGAAUUUAUGGUCUUAAAAGUUUAAAUUACAAAAAUGGUUGUUUAUUGAAGUUUCAGAUUGGAUAUUUUUGGGAAAUCUUUUCUGUUUCUUAAAGUUAAAUGUCCAACUUAGUCUUGAUGUAUUGACCUAAACUAAAAUAGAAAUUUUGCUAAAAUUCUUCUUUAAUAGCCUUACAUUGAACAUAUAGUCUUGCUUGACAAAAUCUUAAUGCUAGUUUAGAUGAGAUCAGUUGUAUGAAUUCUCCUGUGGACUUGCUGUCGAUCUUGAGAAGUGUUACACAUUAAGUUAGUGGGUGAUGUUAUCUUUGGUCAAACUGUGGGAGUGAUACUUGUGAUGCAUGAUGCAAUUUUAUGGUAAUGGAAUCAAAAGAUGUUUUGUUUCAAAUUCCAUGAGGCAUGCAGUGGCUGCAUUUCAGACAAUCUUGUUAGGAAGUUUGCUUGCACUGUUAUGACUUUUUAACUUCACAAUGUCAAAUCAUCAAGAGUAAUUUGUUUUAGAAGUUUAAGAUAGAGGGAAUAAGUGGAUGAACUUGAGGAAUUGAAGUCCAUGCUGACCUUCGUAUCUUCAAUUUGUUAAGAUGCUUGUUUGUUUCUAGUUCAAGAGUAAUGAACGAGUUUCAUUGUGUGCAGAUGGGACAAAAGGGAAGGAUUCAAUGUUUCUGCAAUUGAUGUGGUAAGUUGGUAAUUUAUCAUGGCUGGGUUGGAGGAAUUAAGGAAGAAGCUUGCACCCUUAUUUGAUGCUGACAAGGGCUUCUCUGUCGGGUCAACCUUAGACCCUAGUGAUUCUUAUAUGCUGUCAGAUGGUGGAACUGUUAACUUAUUAAGCAGAUCAUAUGGAGUGUACAACAUAAAUGAGCUGGGAUUGCAAAAGUGCACUUCUUCACCGGUAGAUGAAACAGACCACAGUGAGAAAACAUAUCGAUGUGCCUCCCAAGAGAUGAGAAUUUUUGGAGCUAUAGGUAGUGGUGCCAGCAGUGUUGUUCAGAGAGCUAUUCAUAUUCCUACACAUAGAAUUCUUGCCCUGAAGAAAAUUAAUAUUUUUGAAAAGGAGAAAAGACAACAGCUUCUUACUGAGAUACGGACACUGUGCGAGGCACCUUGUUAUGAGGGUCUUGUGGAAUUCCAUGGAGCAUUUUAUACUCCUGACUCUGGGCAAAUAAGCAUAGCUCUAGAAUACAUGGAUGGAGGUUCAUUAGCAGACAUGUUACGAGUGCGUAAAAGGAUACCAGAACCAGUGCUUUCACAUAUGUUUCAAAAGCUUCUUCAUGGUCUAAGCUACUUGCAUGGGGUUAGACAUUUGGUUCACAGAGAUAUAAAACCAGCAAAUCUGCUUGUGAAUCUCAAGGGGGAGCCAAAAAUAACAGAUUUUGGCAUAAGUGCUGGCCUAGAGAAUUCAAUGGCGAUGUGCGCUACUUUUGUUGGGACUGUCACAUACAUGUCACCUGAGCGAAUUCGAAAUGACAGCUAUUCUUAUCCAGCUGAUAUUUGGAGCCUUGGUCUUGCUCUCUUUGAGUGUGGCACAGGGGAGUUCCCAUACACAGCUAAUGAGGGACCUGUCAACCUUAUGUUGCAGAUCUUGGAAGAUCCAUCGCCAUCACCGUCCAAACACAAAUUUUCUCCUGAGUUCUGCUCAUUUAUUGAUACUUGCCUCCAGAAGGAUCCUGAUGCUAGGCCAACAGCAGAGCAGCUUCUUUCACACCCAUUUAUCAUGAAGUAUGCUCACACUAGUGUAGACCUGGCAUCAUAUGUCCAAAGCGUUUUUGAUCCAACACAAAAAAUGAAGGAUUUGGCAGAUAUGCUGACGAUACACUAUUACUUACUUUUUGAUGGCCCGGAUGAGCUUUGGCAGCACGCAAAGACAUUAUAUAAUGAAGGCUCAACUUUUAGGUACUAAACUAUGAAACUGUAUAUUCUUGUCUUUUUCAUGAAACUUUAGAAAGGACAUGAAUCCUAAGGGAACCAUAUUUUUGUAGAAAACACUUUCUGAGAUAGCUAAUUAUCUUUUAGUUUGUAUUUAAUGUUUUUUAUUUUUAUAACACAAAAUCAAGAAAGAAACUGAUUUCUGACAUUUGGAAUGCAAUGGAAAAAAAAUUAAUUUCCUUUAACAAAGAAGAUUAUGAGAACAUCUGAAUAUUAAGGACUUGCAUAGAGGAGUCUACAGGCUAAAUUUUGGCACUUGUUGCCAACUGGCAUUAGUCAACAACCAAAGGUUAUUGCUGAGAAUGGUCAAUGGACUAAUAGAUGCAUAACUAAGUGAAUUUUUUUGUGAUUUCUUAUCCGUUUUUGAGAGUUUGUAGACGUCAAAAAUAAAAGUACUUCCAUUCAAAGUGGGAGUCAUUUUCCUUGAAGAAUGUUUAGUUUUCAUCUAAACAACAAAAAUAUUUUUAGUUGAACAACUUUUCCCCGUAGCAAAAAAGGAAAAAAAAUUCUAAAAUAUAUUUUCUGCAAAACAAACAGAGCUGUGGUCUUAUAUUACAUUUAAUAUUUGAAACUGCCACUCAGUUGUGUUUUCUUGCCUUUUAUAUAGGCUAAGAUAAACUUUUGCUCCUUUCUAGUUUCUCUGGGAAACAGUCUGUUGGUCCUAGAGAUAUCUUUGCAACCUUGUCAAACAUCCGGAGCACAUUAGCUGGUGAUUGGCCUCCUGAAAGACUUGUUCACAUUGUGGAAAAACUGCAGUGCCGUGCUCAUGGUCAAGAUGGAGUUGCAAUCCGCGUAUCCGGUUCCUUUAUAAUUGGAAAUCAGUUCCUCAUAUGUGGGGAUGGUUUGCAAGUAGAGGGAUUGCCAAAUGUUAAAGAUCUUUCAAUUGACAUUCCCAGUAAGCGCAUGGGCACAUUUCAGGAACAGUUUAUCAUGGAACCAGGAAAUGUCAUUGGACGUUACUUCAUAGCUAAACAAGAUCUUUAUAUCGUCCAGUAGAAUAACUGCAAAUGAGAAUUAUGUCCUCCAAGGUUAGUAUAUUCAACAGUGCUUUGCGAGUUUGUAUGGUCAUGCAAUUUCCAUUGUCGUUACUUUGGUGGUUGCUAUCUGCUAUGCUUGAUGUAGGUAUUUUUCCUGCAACGAAAUUUCUUAUUUCCUCUCUAUUCUAAGCUAACUUGUUACGUAUUUUGAGUUCUUUUAAUCACUUUUAAUUGUAGAUUAUGUACUUUUAUCAGAUACCUUGCAUUUUUUUUGUUUGACAGAUAUUUAACCAUUACUACAGCAAGAAAUCUAAGCGGUUAAGCUUAUGGGUCUACAUUUGCCGACAAUUCAUCAUCUAAUAUAUAGAACCACUGUAUGUGCCAAGUUCCUGUCAAGUGCAACGAUUGCCAUGAUUGUAUGGCCAAGGUAAUUUUCAUCUUUGUCUAAACUUGAAUGUAUUAUUGCAUAUGAGAUGCACAAGGACUAAUUGCAAAUUGCAAAUUGGGAUUGAUCAAAUGAACUUACCAUUAAGAAUGCCUACAUAUUUGUAUUGUAAAAU
RNAcentral lists this unclassified non-coding RNA (3596 nucleotides) under Hevea brasiliensis (rubber tree). The record is from RNAcentral. Lineage: Eukaryota; Viridiplantae; Streptophyta; Magnoliopsida; Malpighiales; Euphorbiaceae.